GGGACAGUCGCUCCGGGGACUUGGUGUUUUGCGCCAAGGAUUCCGGGGAGGAAAGUCCGGGCUCCAUGAAUCAGGGUGGUUGCUAACGGCAACCGGCCGCAAGGCUAGGGAAAGUGCAGCAGAGAGUAGACCGCCUACCCCGGCGCGUUUGACCUUCGGGAAGAACCGCUGGGCGGCAAGGGUGAAACGGUGCGGUAAGAGCGCACCAGCGCCCCCGGAGACGGGGGCGGCUUGGUAAACCCCACCCGGAGAAAGGCCGAAUAGGGGAGGUUCCCGCGGCGGUGAUUCCCGCCCUCAACCUCCCGGGUAGGCCGUUCGAGGCGGGCGGCAACGUCCGUCCCAGAGAAAUGACUGUCGCCCCUCGGGGUACAGAAUCCGGCUUACAAGGCCUCUCG
Molecule: RNase P RNA, 395 nt
Filed under: marine eukaryotic metagenome
Description: Bacterial RNase P class A
Rfam family: Bacterial RNase P class A
About the family: Ribonuclease P (RNase P) is a ubiquitous endoribonuclease, found in archaea, bacteria and eukarya as well as chloroplasts and mitochondria. Its best characterised activity is the generation of mature 5'-ends of tRNAs by cleaving the 5'-leader elements of precursor-tRNAs.
Source: RNAcentral